CUGGAGGUAUCAGAAGUGCGAAUGCUGACAUAAGUAACGAUAAAGCGGGUGAAAAGCCCGCUCGCCGGAAGACCAAGGGUUCCUGUCCAACGUUAAUCGGGGCAGGGUGAGUCGACCCCUAAGGCGAGGCCGAAAGGCGUAGUCGAUGGGAAACGGGUUAAUAUUCCCGUACUUGGUGUUACUGCGAAGGGGGGACGGAGAAGGCUAUGUUGGCCGGGCGACGGUUGUCCCGGUUUAAGCGUGUAGGUGUGUGUUCCAGGUAAAUCCGGUUCACUUUAACACUGAGGCGUGAUGACGAGGCACUACGGUGCUGAAGCAACAAAUGCCCUGCUUCCAGGAAAAGCCUCUAAGCAUCAGGUAACAUCAAAUCGUACCCCAAACCGACACAGGUGGUCAGGUAGAGAAUACCAAGGCGCUUGAGAGAACUCGGGUGAAGGAACUAGGCAAAAUGGUGCCGUAACUUCGGGAGAAGGCACGCUGACAUGUAGGUGAAGUGAUUUACUCAUGGAGCUGAAGUCAGUCGAAGAUACCAGCUGGCUGCAACUGUUUAUUAAAAACACAGCACUGUGCAAACACGAAAGUGGACGUAUACGGUGUGACGCCUGCCCGGUGCCGGAAGGUUAAUUGAUG
This 630-nucleotide ribosomal RNA is filed under the name Salmonella enterica. Its description in RNAcentral is "partial 23S ribosomal RNA". It matches the Rfam family "Bacterial large subunit ribosomal RNA", at positions 1273 to 1886 of the family's 2925-position model. The record is from RNAcentral. Lineage: Bacteria; Pseudomonadati; Pseudomonadota; Gammaproteobacteria; Enterobacterales; Enterobacteriaceae. RNAcentral also lists the same sequence under 2 other names.